UUGUUUUCUGCAGUUUCAUUGUGUUUAAUUUUUCCUUUUGAGUUCUUUUUAGCCCACUGAAUUUUGUGCUUUGCUUAAUUUUACACAUUUCCCUUGCUCACUUUAUUUGUUCAUCGAACAGCCUUUUUGUUGGAGAUCAUAUGGGAGAAAUGAUAAGCUGAUCAGCAUUGAUGAGGAAAUCUUUCCUUGUGGUAUUUAGAUUGUUCUAGAAAAGCAGCGCAGAUAUAUCUUUUGACAUGUUUCUGGCAUAAUGAUGGUUAUGGUGUUUACGUAUGUUUUACAUUUGCAGUACAACAUGUAAUUGCCAAGUCAUGCCUUCAAUUGAACUCAUUUUGGAGGUCAUGCCUCUUGCUGGAAACAUAAUCUUGGAAGACUUAUUUGCAAUUUGUGAC
RNAcentral lists this long non-coding RNA (392 nucleotides) under Manihot esculenta (cassava). RNAcentral's name for it is "long non-coding RNA (MESC_LNC002934)". The record is from RNAcentral. Lineage: Eukaryota; Viridiplantae; Streptophyta; Magnoliopsida; Malpighiales; Euphorbiaceae.